Molecule: long non-coding RNA, 386 nt
Organism: Saccostrea cuccullata (small rock oyster)
Lineage: Eukaryota; Metazoa; Mollusca; Bivalvia; Ostreida; Ostreidae
Exons: 3
Source: RefSeq, a predicted model, not a curated record
AAUACAGACUGUCUCCCAGGUAAAAAAAUGUAUGAUUCAUUCAUAUAAAUUGUUUUUGAUUUUUCAAUAAAAUAAUGACAUUUGUUAUAAGGGAGUUUAUAUAUUUUAUACUUAGGCAACCUAUCUGUUGGCCAGGAAUGUUUUCGCUCUUCGCAGUGUACUGAUGCAGAUCCUGCUGUACGAUGUGUUGACGGUCACUGUCUCUGUAUGGAGGGAUAUCAAAUGAGGGGACAGAAAUGUGUUGAAGACACUAAUGAAGAAAAUACCAAGACACAAACAGAUAUCUCAAUCAUCGCUGGAGUUAUUGGAUAUUUUCUUGGCUUAACCUCUACAGUGUGUGCUUCAUUAAUUUUCAAGAAAUGUUGGAAACGAUCGAUUAAAACGCA